This 107-nucleotide small nuclear RNA is filed under the name Mus spretus (western wild mouse). Lineage: Eukaryota; Metazoa; Chordata; Mammalia; Rodentia; Muridae. The record is from RNAcentral.
GUGCCCGCUUCGGCAGCACAUAUACUAACAUUGAAACGAUACAGAGAAGAUUAGCAUGGACCCUGCGCAAGGAUGACACACAAAUUCGUGAAGCAUUCCAUAUUUUU